GGGAAGAGAGACUACAUAGACCAUGUCAGCCAAGUCCAGCCUGUGGAUGGUGUCGUGUUGGUUGAUCCUGAUCUUGUGAAGGGAAAGAAAGGGACCUGUACUUCUCCCGGGUCCAGGUGUAUCCUCCUGUGGGGGCCGCGAGCACCCCCACAAAACUGCAAGAGAGCCUGCUCAAAAAGCUGGGGAGCAACACGUACCCCUUUCUCCUGACGUUUCCUGACUACUUGCCCUGUUCAGUGAUGUUGCAGCCAGCUCCACAAGAUUCAGGGAAGUCCUGUGGGGUUGACUUUGAGGUCAAAGCAUUCGCCACAGACAGCACCGAUGCCGAAGAGGACAAAAUCCCCAAGAAGAGCUCCGUGCGAUUACUGAUCCGCAAAGUACAGCAUGGCCCACUUGAGAUGGGUCCCCAGCCCCGAGCUGAGGCGGCCUGGCAGUUCUUCAUGUCUGACAAGCCCCUGCACCUUGCGGUCUCUCUCAACAAAGAG
This 485-nucleotide small RNA is filed under the name Pan troglodytes (chimpanzee). RNAcentral describes it as "processed transcript". The record is from RNAcentral. Lineage: Eukaryota; Metazoa; Chordata; Mammalia; Primates; Hominidae.